UUAGUCGGUUGUGGUUGUUCUUA
RNAcentral lists this non-coding RNA (23 nucleotides) under Arabidopsis thaliana (thale cress). Lineage: Eukaryota; Viridiplantae; Streptophyta; Magnoliopsida; Brassicales; Brassicaceae. The record is from RNAcentral.